GAUGAACGCUGGCGGCGUGCCUAAUACAUGCAAGUCGAGCGAACAGACGAGGAGCUUGCUCCUUUGACGUUAGCGGCGGACGGGUGAGUAACACGUGGGUAACCUACCUAUAAGACUGGGAUAACUUCGGGAAACCGGAGCUAAUACCGGAUAAUAUUUCGAACCGCAUGGUUCGAUAGUGAAAGAUGGCUUUGCUAUCACUUAUAGAUGGACCUGCGCCGUAUUAGCUAGUUGGUAAGGUAACGGCUUACCAAGGCAACGAUACGUAGCCGACCUGAGAGGGUGAUCGGCCACACUGGAACUGAGACACGGUCCAGACUCCUACGGGAGGCAGCAGUAGGGAAUCUUCCGCAAUGGGCGAAAGCCUGACGGAGCAACGCCGCGUGAGUGAUGAAGGUCUUCGGAUCGUAAAACUCUGUUAUUAGGGAAGAACAAACGUGUAAGUAACUGUGCACGUCUUGACGGUACCUAAUCAGAAAGCCACGGCUAACUACGUGCCAGCAGCCGCGGUAAUACGUAGGUGGCAAGCGUUAUCCGGAAUUAUUGGGCGUAAAGCGCGCGUAGGCGGUUUUUUAAGUCUGAUGUGAAAGCCCCACGGCUCAACCGUGGAGGGUCAUUGGAAACUGGAAAACUUGAGUGCAGAAGAGGAAAGUGGAAUUCCAUGUGUAGCGGUGAAAUGCGCAGAGAUAUGGAGGAACACCAGUGGCGAAGGCGACUUUCUGGUCUGUAACUGACGCUGAUGUGCGAAAGCGUGGGGAUCAAACAGGAUUAGAUACCCUGGUAGUCCACGCCGUAAACGAUGAGUGCUAAGUGUUAGGGGGUUUCCGCCCCUUAGUGCUGCAGCUAACGCAUUAAGCACUCCGCCUGGGGAGUACGACCGCAAGGUUGAAACUCAAAGGAAUUGACGGGGACCCGCACAAGCGGUGGAGCAUGUGGUUUAAUUCGAAGCAACGCGAAGAACCUUACCAAAUCUUGACAUCCUUGACCCUUCUAGAGAUAGAAGUUUCUCCUUCGGGGGACAAAGUGACAGGUGGUGCAUGGUUGUCGUCAGCUCGUGUCGUGAGAUGUUGGGUUAAGUCCCGCAACGAGCGCAACCCUUAAGCUUAGUUGCCAUCAUUAAGUUGGGCACUCUAAGUUGACUGCCGGUGACAAACCGGAGGAAGGUGGGGAUGACGUCAAAUCAUCAUGCCCCUUAUGAUUUGGGCUACACACGUGCUACAAUGGACAAUACAAAGGGCAGCGAAACCGCGAGGUCAAGCAAAUCCCAUAAAGUUGUUCUCAGUUCGGAUUGUAGUCUGCAACUCGACUACAUGAAGCUGGAAUCGCUAGUAAUCGUAGAUCAGCAUGCUACGGUGAAUACGUUCCCGGGUCU
Molecule: ribosomal RNA, 1372 nt
Filed under: uncultured bacterium
Lineage: Bacteria
Description: bacterial SSU rRNA
Rfam family: Bacterial small subunit ribosomal RNA
Source: RNAcentral